AGUGGCGGACGGGUGAGUAACGCGUAAGAAUCUAACUUCAGGACGGGGACAACAGUUGGAGACGACUGCUAAUACCCGAUGUGCCGCAAGGUGAAACCUAAUUGGCCUGGAGAAGAGCUUGCGUCUGAUUAGCUAGUUGGUGGGGUAAAGGCCUACCAAGGCGACGAUCAGUAGCUGGUCUGAGAGGAUGAGCAGCCACACUGGGACUGAGACACGGCCCAGACUCCUACGGGAGGCAGCGGUGGGGAAUUUUCCGCAAUGGGCGAAAGCCUGACGGAGCAACGCCGCGUGAGGGAGGAAGGUCUUUGGAUUGUAAACCUCUUUUCUCAAGGAAGAAGUUCUGACGGUACUUGAGGAAUCAGCCUCGGCUAACUCCGUGCCAGCAGCCGCGGUAAUACGGGGGAGGCAAGCGUUAUCCGGAAUUAUUGGGCGUAAAGCGUCCGCAGGUGGUCAGCCAAGUCUGCCGUCAAAUCAGGUUGCUUAACGACCUAAAGGCGGUGGAAACUGGCAGACUAGAGAGCAGUAGGGGUAGCAGGAAUUCCCAGUGUAGCGGUGAAAUGCGUAGAGAUUGGGAAGAACAUCGGUGGCGAAAGCGUGCUACUGGGCUGUAUCUGACACUCAGGGACGAAAGCUAGGGGAGCGAAAGGGAUUAGAUACCCCUGUAGUCCUAGCCGUAAACGAUGGAUACUAGGCGUGGCUU
Molecule: ribosomal RNA, 700 nt
Filed under: uncultured bacterium
Lineage: Bacteria
Description: bacterial SSU rRNA
Rfam family: Bacterial small subunit ribosomal RNA
Source: RNAcentral